Molecule: long non-coding RNA, 251 nt
Organism: Saccostrea cuccullata (small rock oyster)
Lineage: Eukaryota; Metazoa; Mollusca; Bivalvia; Ostreida; Ostreidae
Exons: 4
Source: RefSeq, a predicted model, not a curated record
GUUCGUCAAAAUACUUGCAAAAACUGGACUAAAUGCAACCGCCAGAUUCCCAUACUCUGAGGGACUCUCAACAACAUGGCAUGUACAAAGAGAAAAAUCAAAGGUAAGCAAAGGGAUAUCAAAAGGGCAGAGCAGAUUUACCACAAGAUCUGGUUGUGACAGAACAGUUUUCAGCAGGAAGAGGUCCUCUUGUUUCAACUUUGUUCAACAGUGAUUGGGGCCUACCCCUGCGCUUUGCCGACUUCCGCCCC